Long non-coding RNA from Dromaius novaehollandiae (emu), 7858 nucleotides. RefSeq lists it as uncharacterized. The transcript is spliced from 6 exons. NCBI's taxonomy places the organism in Eukaryota, Metazoa, Chordata, Aves, Casuariiformes, Dromaiidae. The record is from RefSeq and is a predicted model, not a curated record.
CGACCCGCCUCGCUGCCCGGCGAGUCUCCCCGCAGCCCUUCGGCGGCCCGCGGGGCCCCGGCUGGGCCCGCGUUGCUCUCCCGCCGGCGGCGCCGUGGGAGGCCGUCGCCCCCCUCCCCGCCCCGCCCCGCCCCGCUCAACGGUCGCGCCGCGGCCGUUGGCCUCCCGCCUCGGCGCGAGCAGCGCGGCCCCCCCCCCCGCCACUGCCACAGCCCCCAGCGCGGGGUGGCGGCCCUCCACCUAGCGCCCCCGCGACCGCGCCGCCCACCCCUGCCCGCCUCCGCCGCCCGCGGCCAGCCCAGGCCUCGCCGGGCCCCACCGGGGCACCCGCUGGGCAGGCGCCUCGCCGCCUGUGGCCCUCACCGCCCCAGCACCGACCGCGCUGGAGGCUGGUGUGAAAUUCUUAUACUAGUGAUGGUCAAUAGAGUCUGAAUCCUUCAUGUUAUUGGACUUGCCUCUUCAGAAGAUUUUUGUGAGUGUACCCUGAUUUGGUACCUUCCUACAUUAGGCUUCAUUCCUACAAUCCUCCUGGGCAAGCAGAGACAGUUAAAGCAUACCUGUAUAAUGAGGGUUUAAGCAAGGCAGUGAAAGUUAGACUCUCAGUCUCCUCUUCUGGACUUUGCCCAAGAAGACUUCCUGAAAGGACAAUUUCACCUUGUUCCAGUUCCAUGUCUUAAAUUGCAGCAAGACCUGCUCUCAGAUCUUGAGGCAUCUGACAGAAGUUAAGAAAAAUCUAUUAGUUCUGUGAGAAGAAAGGAACAUUAUGGCCUGGUUUCAACAAGGAACUUCUAUAUCAUAUCUGUCUGAAAGACAGUAAGCAUCAAGUGGCAGAAGAGCCCCCCACCCUCAAGUAAUUUGUUCCACAUUUAAUUAAUACCUACUUGAACCAUCAUACGUCUGAAAUUUACCAUGGUGCAGCAUAUGUCCAUGUGCAGUCAGACAAGCUGCAGGAAGUCAUUAGGUUUGUAUAAGUCUAAUAGACUAUAGAAACCAAACAAUGAACAAGAAGAGCCUGGAAGAGAGCAAUGAGUUCAAGCUGGCGUCAACCCACGUAUUCCUUCCCAUCAACUAGGAAUGCCCAGUGUUGUGACGGUUAGCAUAUUAUAGAGAUCCAUAAGGAGAAUCACAUUUGUAUUGUGAUUCAACUGCAUAUUACAACAGCUAUACUCUGCUAAGUAUAAUUUGUACCUGUAUUAUGUUUUAACUACAUUGCUCACUCAGUCUGCUAAAUCAAAGUCCCAUGUAAUUGUAAGGGCCCUGAGGGCACUAAUGGGCCUUAAUAGCAAUGACUACCCUUCCCUGGGGCCUCCCUUACCCUGCCCAGGCCCAGGACCCCAUUUCAGCCCAGCCCCAGGCUGUCAGUCCCUGCCCCACAAUGCCACAGCAGUGUCAGUCUCCAGCCCUGCCACAGCCCUGUUCCUGCCCAGCCAUGGGCCGCCCUGGCCCUGAGCUGCAGCCAACUGCUCAGCCUCAGCUCUGCCCAGGCUGUACCUGAUCCUGGUUACCCUCACCAGACAUGUUCCUGCCAUGCAGACUGACUUCCUGGCUUCACCUCGAGCCUGUCUCAUCACCAUGAACCAUGAGCCCUGGCUGGUACAGCCCCUGCCUUACCAGACAGAUUAUUGCUCUUGGCUUCCUGUCCCUUGGGGAGCAGUGGCCCUUGAUCCCUGACAGUAACUUCAAUUAGGUAAACUUUGUACUAAACGUUAAACCUUCCAUGUGUGGGGGUUAUCUAAAAGAACCUGGUCAGAGAGCAUUGGACUCUGACACCUCCUCUGCAAACUAUUGCUGUGAACUUUAUUCUAAUGAACAGAGUAAGGCAAAUACUACUUAGUUUUAACAUGACACACAGAACAUACCAUGGUAUAGAAUAUGUAGGGAGACCUCACACAUUUAAAUAGAAUAUGCAGUAACUAAUACACAGUUCUAAUGAUGAUGCAGUACUGUGGUAAGCUAGUAUGAUACUUAACAGACAAAGCAUUUCCAGUAAGUAGGAAAUGAGUCUAGUACUACCUGUUUUAUUUUUGUUUUUCUUCUGUUAGCCACUUAAUUCUCCUAGGAUUCUAUUUGUACAUGUAUUGGUUUCCCUGGGAUAGGCAUAUCUGUUUGCUCUGCCCACAGGCUUACCUGCUCGUAUAGCAGCUACUGAACCCUGUAAGAUACUACAGCCUGAUAUACUAGGGAAAAGCAAAUUUGAUUUUAGUUCACGUUAGAGCACAGUAUAUCAAAACUGUGUCUGUUGAGCUGUUCCUUCAGAAAGAGCACAACCAUUCCUCAAACACAGAUGACAUUCCACAAGAGAGGAAGGACAAGAGAGCUGGGGCAUCAGGAGCCCUCCUGUUAUCCUAGAAUCCCCAGAGCAAUGAGAUCCUACCAGCCUGAGCUCAUCUCCUGUGCCUCUUAUCAACAGAGCAUCUGCAGUGGUGAAGACUCCAAAAAUGGCAUUAUCCCCAUCUUUCUACUCAGUCCUUGAGAAGUCUGCAGCAGUCUGUAACAGCCAGUCAAGGGAGUCCUCCCAAAGUAUGUGCCAUGAGCAUAUGCAUAAGCUUGCUGUUCCUUCUCCAUUGCACUCUUGUGUGGCCACACUCAAAUGCAGAAGAGGAUUUACUCAGCAAGCACCACAGUAUUACUUCUGAAUGAGAAGGAACAGAAGCAAGCCAGGUACAGGAUCAGGAAUAGAAAAGGCAUGAUGGUGGUUGGGGUAGGGACCAUCACCUCCAGGAGACAGAUGAAAGUAAAGUAUGAUGCUUUCCAGUGACCUGCUUUCCUCAUCAAAGUUUGUCCUCAUAAAGCUCUCCCUGGUUCAAAGGAUUUGAACUUUGGGUUCAAACCCUCAAAGUGCUAACAGUGAAAAUGUCACGUACUCAGCACUACCUGUUUCAAACCACUCCUGUUGCACCUACUUGCUAAAGUAGUUAGAGCCACUUUCUCCAUAACAGGCUUACACCAAAUAAACAGUCUGUACUGAACCUUUAAGCCAUACAAAGUAGUAAGAUCAAAAUAUGGCUUUAAAAUCAAAUACCUACUAUUACUGAAUAAAAUGAUUCACUUCAGUUACCAAUUGAUAUUUUACUUCCCACACAUUACUACAUGGCUUAAUGGUAAUAUUCCAGUAAUCCUUUGUGCAUCUUUAAUACAGACACUAAAAAUAUUAUCUGCAGUUUUGAUAAAGGUGUACAGCUUCCAUCAAACCCUUUUAAUUAAGAUCAUAAUGCUAGUUUAAAUGCAAGAAUCUGUACAAAACUGUCAUAUUUCUCCCUGGUGAAUUACAAACUCCUUUGAAACAUCUUGAUUAGAAGCUUGAAAGAAGGAAAACCGUUCAAAUUUUAAGUCAGAUUCCUUAUGCUGACCAGCACAGCAAUACAUUGCAAAAAUUCUCUUGAUCAAGACUGCAUAUUUAUAAUCUUUCUAAGUACUGGUGAAUAAUGGUCGUAAAAAUGGCAUUGUUUUCUAUGAAAUACCAGCUGAUACAGGAGACAAUAGUGAAAUUAGAAACCUACGAUACAGAAUUUCCUGUAAGAACAAGCAAGAAUUACUAGUCUUUGUAGCACUAGAUGACUAUACAGGCAUAAGAGGUAAUUGCUUCUGCUCUCACCGUGUAUCCUGCAGAAUUGUAGGCAGAAGCCAGAUCUGAUCUCUUGCUGCUGUUGGGCAGUUAUGCCUAAUCUGAAGAGAAUCUGCCUCCAAAAAUAAGUCUGCCACUUGCUACCAGGAAGCAGACAUUUUAGUGGUUAAGAAUGAAGUGUAGGGUGUUUUUUUAAUGAUAAUACUUGAUUAUAGAGUGAAUGCAUUUGGACAUCAAAUACAUGGCGAGAAGACUUCACCACAUGUAAAAGUGAUUAUAAGACUACAAAUUAAAAAAAGAAAGGUAGAGGAACUGUUGUUUUAUAGGCUAUUUGCAUCUGCAUCAUAUUUUUUUUUACAGCCUUAGUAAUACCUAGUUACCUUUGGUUUUUUACUGUAAAAGACACAUUCCCUAGGUUACAGAAAAGAGAUUCGUGAAACAUACCUCUCUGCAAGGCAUAAACUGCAAAGGCAAGAAAUAUCAGAACACGUAUUCUACCACUCCAUGUACAAAAAAUAUUACUAGCCUAAUUUGCUGCCAGGAGCAUGAUGGUAUUUUGAUCACAGCCCUGUAGUUCAAGUGCUAAACAAGAAGUGGAAUAUAUUUUCAGCAUACCUGGAAUGGCUAAAGGACAGCAACAGGACAGCCUUUUCCCUUACCACUGAUAAAGGGUAUGCUUUAUAAUUUUUUAAAUUAAGAUAUUUUUAUUAGGAGAAAGAAUGCUUAUGGUCUUCCAUAUUCCACGUUCUCCUGAUUGACAUGAUAGGAACUAGGGGCAAUUGCCAUCAUAUUUAAUGUGGUAUUGUUUGACAACAAAAGGAAAUUAUAUGAGAACAUACGCAUGAAGACAAAAUUAACUAAGUGUUAAAUGGCAGUACCUGGAGUGCGUAAGGCUGAAAGGAUGACCCUAAGGAAGUGAAUGGAGGCAAUGAGAGAUGACUAAACUUUGUAUAUAUACACAAGAGGAAGACAAGAAGAAGGGAUUGAGGGAGGAGAGAAAGAAGGUUGAGGAAACACAGGGUUGGGAAAAGAGAGUUUUUAUAAUACUCUUCAUGGUUGAAUAGCUAAUAGCUUAGCUAAGAAAAGGAGGAGUGUUGCAUUUGUGGGGAAUCCCAAAGGCAAAAAGGACUGCUUAUACAGGGCUUUGAGUGUGCAAAGAUGCUCCUAAGAAGGAGGUGGCACAUGCUGUCUUUUUGGCAUAUGAAUGGAAACUAGAAACACUGGGACAGCCUGGAUAACAAGCAAAACCUGAGGAGUGGGAACAGCAGGGACGUCUGGUUCCUGGAUAUGAAAAAGCAGAGUCAGUUCUACAUUUUGUCUUAUGAUUAUCUCCUCCCAUUGCUGACACCAUUACCUGCCUGGUUCUCCAAAUCCUCUUUUCCUACUUGUAUACCUGUAUAAAGCGUCAUACUUUGGCUCAAAUGUUGGACGAUUUUUCCUUAUGUCCACAUCCUCUGCAGAGCCAAUCUAUUGCCUUAGUAAACUAAACGUAACAAUAUAUGUAAAAGUAAGCUAGCAAUUUAGAUAUUUAAGAAAAGCUCUCAAAAGCAUCACGACUGUAAGAUACUUGAUGGUUAGCAAGAGCUACAUUUGGUUACCUGGAUAGAUAUUUUUAACUUGCCAAUAGGAAUCUUAUUCUCCAAGACUUGACCUAUUGGUAUCACUGGAGUUUCCUGGGUCAUAAUGAGGGAAAAGCUUGUUCCUGAACUUCCUGAAGCAGGAGUAACAGGAACUCAAGCCAUCCUUCUCCCAUCUGCAGAAAAUGAGUAAUUUAAGAGUAUUCACUCUAAAUGUACCUUAUAAACUGAAGUGCCUCCGACAAUCCAAACCAUGUCUACUUUACUUUUUAAUUCUGGUGAAUCCAGAAGAGCUAAAGCAUCAUCCAGACUUUUGGAAAGAUAAUGUGCUCCCUUUGGGGUUUCCCUAGAAAAACAAAGUUUUAUUACUUAACUUAAAGGACAUUCAUCAUGAUAAUCAAUACAAAUCUAGACAUACAAUGUAUUUUGCUGAAUUUACAAGUGACUAAAUCUUUCACAUUAGUUUACUAUUUUGAAAUGCCUAUUAUUGCUAAAUCAUUUUAGAAUUCUCACCUGACUGCAGUAUGCUUAAUAAAUCAGAAUUCAAUCAUAAAUGUGACUUAAAAAGCAUUAUAAGUUAUAGAUCUGAAGUUUUGUAUCAGAUGGGAAAAAAAAAGCAUAAGUGAAGAACUUAAAUAUCUAUAUAUCUAACCAAAUAUGGACUUCUACCCAAUUCUAAAGCAUUAAUAUUUUCCCAAUAAAACUUGUCAAAAAAAAGCCCCUUAUGCUCCACACCUCAUAUUCAGCCAAAAACCCCACCAAAGCUUUCCAAAGCAAUAAACCACUAGAAGCAAACAUUUCUAUUUAAGAAUGUUUGGAUGAUUGUGGGUGAUGCAUUCAAGAAGAAAGCUCUGAAAAAGGACAUGUUCUUUUCCCUUAAAUGCUAAUAAAAGUAAGCCUCAAGAAAAGUGAAUAAUGAAGUCAGUAACCAGAAACUAGAGCAAUAGAAUUAAAUACAUGAGUCAUAAGGACUAAUGACAUGAUGGUUUCUAUGUAGAUCCAGGACUAGUAUUUAUUUUAUGCAUAGAAGAAUAAAGUAACAAUAUCAUGCAGAAACAACAGGAGAGAUUUUCUAAACAGAUAUAAAAAUACUACAUUUAGAAUUACUUUAUAAAGUCAUGCUGUUUUUUGGUUUAGAUUUGUUAUUUGUUUUACAGACUCAUAACUCUUCAGAUACAUACUUGAGCUCUCUGCUGAGCACUAUAUUAAUUCUGUCUUUUAAAGGACGAUUCUUCUCAGGAAUGGAAAACCAGGUAUUUUUACCCAUUAUCAGUGCAUUCUGUUUACCUGAGUAAGAGAGAAAACAUUUAUUUAAAGAGAAUUUCUUCUCUGUAUUAAACUUGCUUUGGUAGUUUAGUGACAUCUACUGGACUUUACCUCCUCCUUCUGAGCUCAAUUUCAGUAGUUAGCAAAAGAACAAGUUUAGGCUCUGAUUCUGAAGUUAUUCACAUGCAUAGAAGAACAUGUUUGUGCCUAAAGCCUUCGUAGGCAGCUAACACCAAACCAAAGUAGUCUUAUGCACAGCUGUAAACUUUCAAUUGAAAGAGCAUCAACAAGUUAUGUUACAUGUAGUAUACUGCCCUUGGCUCAGCUAUGUCUAUGGGGACAAAUUCAUGCCAGUGUGUGAGACCAACUCACAUCCUCAAAGUCGUUCUCACAAUGUGAAUAAAUAUUCUUGUUCUCUGCAUAAAUCCCAAAGCAGCAUGGAAUAGUCUAUUUUGUGUUUGUAUGUUUUAUCAUUCUAGUUACGUGAUCAGGAAUAAUUGCCACAGCUUUAAGGACAACUUUUAGAAGAAAAAUCAGCUGAAUUUAAUCCAAAAACAGAGGUGUAACAGAUGUUCAAACAUAUUCUAGAAUUCACCCAUAAAUAUUAUUUGUGAUCAACAUUCAUAAGCUCAUUAUUUCUCAUAUAUAUCCUAUCAAGAAGGUUAUCAGCAUUUCCCUUUAUGAGCAGAUAGAGUAGCCAGAGAAACGAACAUGGAGAGUGAGAGACUCAUACAAGGUAACACAGAAAGUUUCUUAAUGCAGUAGAAGGGAUUUUGGAAAGAAUGAGAUUUGUUCACAGCUAACUCUUCCUGCUUUGGUCUGAGAGGUCUUUUCUGGUUUGGUUUGAGAGAUGCUGAAUCUAUUAUAUCACACCAGAGAACUGAUGUUUCAAAUGUGUAUGAGAACUGCCUAAACGCCUUUUCCUGUAGAUAGUGUGCUCUAUUCCUAAACUUCUCUUUCCAAGAGAUUUACCGCACUGUCAGUUCAGAUACAUUAGCACAGACCAGUGGCAUCACUGUCAAAGACGAGGCACAAACUGUUUAGGAAAGUAUGCUUUCUCUUACUGAAGAUCCAUACUGGGAUGCAUACUGGAUCAGAACAAAGGUCCAUUUAGACGAAUAUCUAUUUUUUCAGCAGUGGCCACAGCAGUUAUGCAAGCAGAUCAAAAGCAGGAUCAAGUGAUGCUUCUCCACUGUAUUCUUCCCACUUUCAAAAAUCUGUGACUGGGACUUUUUUGAGCCAAAUGUGGCAGCCCUCCUGUUGAGUUUCAUGGAAGCAUAAUCCAUCAAGAGCUCUGGUUAUGAAGCAGCUUCACUGUUUGGCAUCUAACAUCAUAGCUUAUCAAAAGAUUUGCAUGCAGGAUAGAGUAAACUUUUUAUUAUUUAUAUUUAAAACAUCUGUUGUUGGUUAUGGGUUAUUUGUGUCAUAAAAUGGAAUUUGUAGACAUAUA